Molecule: small nucleolar RNA, 138 nt
Filed under: Ornithorhynchus anatinus (platypus)
Lineage: Eukaryota; Metazoa; Chordata; Mammalia; Monotremata; Ornithorhynchidae
Source: RNAcentral
UCCCUCUCAGGGUUGCACCUGGAGAGUUUCCAGUACUCUACCACUAUUGACUAUGGGAGGGAGAGUCAAGCAGAGGCCUACGCAUUCCAUUCCUAGCUUGGCCAGUGGCUAGCAAGUGGAAGGCCAUCUGCUACCAGU